GGUUCCGCCUGCUCUCACUCAGUUCGCGGCAAACGCGAUUGAGGAGAGGUUGGUGAGCUCCUAAGGAAGGCACAUAAUCAGCUUUGCCAUUUGUUUGCUUUAUUCAUACAGGUAUGUGUUUACAUAUGUGUUUAUGCUUCUGUUAUGUUUUUGAAUUUAUGUAUAAUGUUUCUUUUUUUUUUUGGUGUAUGUUAAACACACUUCAACUUUAUUUAUGUGAGUUCGCGGCAAACGCGAUUGAGGAGAGGUUGGUGAGCUCCUAAGGAAGGCACAUAAUCAGCUUUGCCAUUUGUUUGCUUUAUUCAUACAG
Non-coding RNA from Danio rerio (zebrafish), 310 nucleotides. Lineage: Eukaryota; Metazoa; Chordata; Actinopteri; Cypriniformes; Danionidae. The record is from RefSeq and is a predicted model, not a curated record.